UACGAAGGGUGCAAGCGUUAGUCGGAAUUACUGGGCGUAAAGCGUGCGUAGGCGGUUUCUUAAGUCGGAUGUGAAAGCCCCGGGCUCAACCUGGGAACCGCGCUUGAGACUGGAGAACUAGAGUUCGGGAGAGGAUGGUGGAAUUCCCAGUGUAGAGGUGAAAUUCGUAGAUAUUGGGAAGAACACCGAUGGCGAAGGCAGCCAUCUGGACCGACACUGACGCUGAGGCGCGAAAGCGUGGGGAGCAAACAGG
This 253-nucleotide ribosomal RNA is filed under the name uncultured bacterium. Its description in RNAcentral is "partial 16S ribosomal RNA". It matches the Rfam family "Bacterial small subunit ribosomal RNA", at positions 524 to 776 of the family's 1533-position model. The record is from RNAcentral.